GCAAGUCGAGGGGCAUCGGGAAGAAAGCUUGCUUUCUUUGCCGGCGACCGGCGCACGGGUGAGUAACACGUAUCCAACCUGCCCUUUACUCGGGGAUAGCCUUUCGAAAGAAAGAUUAAUACCCGAUGGCAUAAUGAUUCCGCAUGGUUUCAUUAUUAAAGGAUUCCGGUAAAGGAUGGGGAUGCGUUCCAUUAGGUUGUUGGUGAGGUAACGGCCCACCAAGCCUUCGAUGGAUAGGGGUUCUGAGAGGAAGGUCCCCCACAUUGGAACUGAGACACGGUCCAAACUCCUACGGGAGGCAGCAGUGAGGAAUAUUGGUCAAUGGGCGCUAGCCUGAACCAGCCAAGUAGCGUGAAGGAUGAAGGCUCUAUGGGUCGUAAACUUCUUUUAUAUAAGAAUAAAGUGCAGUAUGUAUACUGUUUUGUAUGUAUUAUAUGAAUAAGGAUCGGCUAACUCCGUGCCAGCAGCCGCGGUAAUACGGAGGAUCCGAGCGUUAUCCGGAUUUAUUGGGUUUAAAGGGAGCGUAGGUGGACUGGUAAGUCAGUUGUGAAAGUUUGCGGCUCAACCGUAAAAUUGCAGUUGAUACUGUCAGUCUUGAGUACAGUAGAGGUGGGCGGAAUUCGUGGUGUAGCGGUGAAAUGCUUAGAUAUCACGAAGAACUCCGAUUGCGAAGGCAGCUCACUGGACUGCAACUGACACUGAUGCUCGAAAGUGUGGGUAUCAAACAGGAUUAGAUACCCUGGUAGUCCACACAGUAAACGAUGAAUACUCGCUGUUUGCGAUAUACAGUAAGCGGCCAAGCGAAAGCAUUAAGUAUUCCACCUGGGGAGUACGCCGGCAACGGUGAAACUCAAAGGAAUUGACGGGGGCCCGCACAAGCGGAGGAACAUGUGGUUUAAUUCGAUGAUACGCGAGGAACCUUACCCGGGCUUAAAUUGCAGUGGAAUGAUGUGGAAACAUGUCAGUGAGCAAUCACCGCUGUGAAGGUGCUGCAUGGUUGUCGUCAGCUCGUGCCGUGAGGUGUCGGCUUAAUUGCCAUAACGAGCGCAACCCUUAUCUUCAGUUACUAACAGGUCAUGCUGAGGACUCUGGAGAGACUGCCUCCUAAANNNUGAGAAAAGGGGGGGGGGNGNCUCCANNNACCCCGGCCCUUNNUUCCGGGGGUCCCCCCGUGUUUAAAGGGGGG
Molecule: ribosomal RNA, 1186 nt
Filed under: uncultured Bacteroides sp.
Lineage: Bacteria; Pseudomonadati; Bacteroidota; Bacteroidia; Bacteroidales; Bacteroidaceae
Description: bacterial SSU rRNA
Rfam family: Bacterial small subunit ribosomal RNA
Source: RNAcentral